Molecule: ribosomal RNA, 450 nt
Filed under: uncultured organism
Description: partial 16S ribosomal RNA
Rfam family: Bacterial small subunit ribosomal RNA
Source: RNAcentral
CACUCCUACGGGAGGCAGCAGUGGGGAAUAUUGGACAAUGGGCGCAAGCCUGAUCCAGCCAUGCCGCGUGAGUGAUGAAGGCCCUAGGGUUGUAAAGCUCUUUCACCGGUGAAGAUAAUGACGGUAACCGGAGAAGAAGCCCCGGCUAACUUCGUGCCAGCAGCCGCGGUAAUACGAAGGGGGCUAGCGUUGUUCGGAUUUACUGGGCGUAAAGCGCACGUAGGCGGACUAUUAAGUCAGGGGUGAAAUCCCGGGGCUCAACCCCGGAACUGCCUUUGAUACUGGUAGUCUUGAGUUCGAGAGAGGUGAGUGGAAUUCCGAGUGUAGAGGUGAAAUUCGUAGAUAUUCGGAGGAACACCAGUGGCGAAGGCGGCUCACUGGCUCGAUACUGACGCUGAGGUGCGAAAGCGUGGGGAGCAAACAGGAUUAGAUACCCGAGUAGUCCCAUGA